CAGCAGUAGCCGCGGUAAUACGGAGGAUCCAAGCGUUAUCCGGAAUCAUUGGGUUUAAAGGGUCCGUAGGCGGUCUUGUAAGUCAGUGGUGAAAGCCCAUCGCUCAACGGUGGAACGGCCAUUGAUACUGCAGGACUUGAAUUAUUGGGAAGUAACUAGAAUAUGUAGUGUAGCGGUGAAAUGCUUAGAGAUUACAUGGAAUACCAAUUGCGAAGGCAGGUUACUACCAAUUGAUUGACGCUGAUGGACGAAAGCGUGGGUAGCGAACAGGAUUAGAUACCCGGGUAGUCCCUGUCUCUUAUAC
This 304-nucleotide ribosomal RNA is filed under the name uncultured bacterium. Its description in RNAcentral is "partial 16S ribosomal RNA". It matches the Rfam family "Bacterial small subunit ribosomal RNA", at positions 506 to 807 of the family's 1533-position model. The record is from RNAcentral.